AUGAACCGGCAGAUUGUCCCGACACAAUCCGUCCUGGAUCGUGUCCUAGUUUCCCCUGAAUGGGAAGUACGCUGCCCCCUCGCGUUGCUCCGGGCUGUCACCCGGAUCGGGUCUGACCAUGUCCCCCUCCUCCUCUCCACCGCCGACGAGCGGCCCCCCACCCCAUCGCGAUUCCGGUUUGAGCCCUUCUGGCUCAAUCAGGCCGGCUUCCGGGAGGCUGUCGUCGCUCGCUGGAUUUUUGCCUGCUCUGCUCCCCAUCGCUCCAUGUCCUCUGUCGACUCGUGGCACUUCUGCGCCAAGCUAGCUCGCCAAUUCAUGAAGGGUUGGGGGGCCAACCUUGGCCGGGACCUUAGAGAGCGCAAAAAGGCCCUCCUGCUGGCUAUCCAAGCCCUGGACACCCGCGCCGACUCGACCGGGAUCUCCCCUGAUGAGUGGAUGCUGCGAUACGACCUGGAAGACCAACUCUCCACCAUUUACACAGAUGAGGAGGCCUACUGGCGCCUGCGUGGUACCCAGAGGUGGGUACUUUGGGGAGAUGCCAACACCGCCUAUUUUCAGGCGGUGGCGAACGGCCGGCGCCGUCGCAAUUCCAUCCAUUGCCUAUGGGAUGGAGACACGCCGAUCGUUCUCCCCUCGGCCAUCCAUACCCACGUAGACGACUUUUAUAAAGCUCUAUUUACCCCCACUCCGCGGGGUGCGGCUAGUCUUGCCCCCGACAUUUGGUCGGGUGCGCAAUUGGUCUCGGCAGAGGCCAAUGCGGCAUUAGUUGCCCCUUUUGACGAGGACGAGGUCCUCGCAGCCAUUAAGGGGAUGAACCCCUCC
This 822-nucleotide ribosomal RNA is filed under the name Triticum aestivum (bread wheat). Its description in RNAcentral is "partial small subunit ribosomal RNA". Lineage: Eukaryota; Viridiplantae; Streptophyta; Magnoliopsida; Poales; Poaceae. The record is from RNAcentral.